AGCGAACGCUGGCGGCAGGCUUAACACAUGCAAGUCGAACGGGCGUAGCAAUACGUCAGUGGCAGACGGGUGAGUAACGCGUGGGAACGUACCUUUUGGUUCGGAACAACACAGGGAAACUUGUGCUAAUACCGGAUAAGCCCUUACGGGGGAAAGAUUUUAUCGCCGAAAGAUCGGCCCGCGUCUGAUUAGCUAGUUGGUGAGGUAACGGCUCACCAAGGCGACGAUCAGUAGCUGGUCUGAGAGGAUGAUCAGCCACAUUGGGACUGAGACACGGCCCAAACUCCUACGGGAGGCAGCAGUGGGGAAUAUUGGACAAUGGGCGCAAGCCUGAUCCAGCCAUGCCGCGUGAGUGAUGAAGGCCCUAGGGUUGUAAAGUCUUUCGGCCGGGAAGAAAUCGUAUGGGUUAAUACCCUGUGCGGAUGACGGUACCGGCAUAAGAAGCACCGGCUAACUACGUGCCAGCAGCCGCGGUAAAGUGUGUGUA
RNAcentral lists this ribosomal RNA (487 nucleotides) under uncultured bacterium. RNAcentral describes it as "bacterial SSU rRNA". It matches the Rfam family "Bacterial small subunit ribosomal RNA", at positions 29 to 533 of the family's 1533-position model. The record is from RNAcentral.